GACGAACGCUGGCGGCGUGCUUAACACAUGCAAGUCGAACGAAGUGGCGAACGGGUGAGUAACGCGUAAUCAACCUGCCCUUCAGAGGGGGACAACAGUUGGAAACGACUGCUAAUACCGCAUACUGAAGGAGGGGAUUGCGUCUGAUUAGCUAGUUGGAGGGGUAACGGCACACCAAGGCGAUGCUCAGUAGCCGGGCUGAGAGGAUGGACGGCCACAUUGGGAAUGAGGCACGGCCCAGACUCCCACGGGAGGCAGCAGUGGGGGAUCUGCCGCAAGGGACGAAAGGCUGACGGAGCAACGCCGCGGGAGAGAUGACGGCCUUCGGGUUGGAAAGCUCUGUUAGUCGGGACGCGGUACCGGAAUAGAAAGCCACGGCUAACUACGUGCCAGCAGCCGCGGUAAUAC
This 408-nucleotide ribosomal RNA is filed under the name uncultured bacterium. RNAcentral's name for it is "partial 16S ribosomal RNA". It matches the Rfam family "Bacterial small subunit ribosomal RNA", at positions 28 to 526 of the family's 1533-position model. The record is from RNAcentral.